GAGGGCAAGUCUGGUGCCAGCAGCCGCGGUAAUUCCAGCUCCAAUAGCGUAUAUUAACGUUGUUGCAGUUAAAAAGCUCGUAGUUGAAGUGAGGGAGUGUGUGUUCAUGAGAGCUAGUCUCGAGUGUUCACAACCUCCCCCCUCCAAUCGGUGUAGUGGGGUAUUCAGUUAUUUCACUACUCCUUUGGUCGUUUACUGUGAGAAAAUUAGAGUGUUCAAAGCGGGCGUUUGUUUGAAUAGAUUAGCAUGGAAUAAUGAUUGAAGGCUUUCGUGUUCGAUUUGAUUGGU
This 288-nucleotide ribosomal RNA is filed under the name Blastocystis sp. RNAcentral describes it as "partial small subunit ribosomal RNA". It matches the Rfam family "Eukaryotic small subunit ribosomal RNA", at positions 551 to 849 of the family's 1831-position model. Lineage: Eukaryota; Bigyra; Opalinata; Blastocystidae. The record is from RNAcentral.